Molecule: small RNA, 632 nt
Filed under: Pan troglodytes (chimpanzee)
Lineage: Eukaryota; Metazoa; Chordata; Mammalia; Primates; Hominidae
Description: processed transcript
Source: RNAcentral
GACACAUUCCUGCGAGCAGCCUGGGGAGAGGAAACAGACUACACUCCCGUUUGGUGCAUGCGCCAGGCAGGCCGUUACUUACCAGAGUUUAGGGAAACCCGGGCUGCCCAGGACUUUUUCAGCACGUGUCGCUCUCCUGAGGCCUGCUGUGAACUGACUCUGCAGGUGAGGGGUCCACAAAAGAGGGAAAGAUUUAUGCCUUCAGUCUGCCACCUAGCAACCUGUCUCCUGUUUCCUACAGCCACUGCGUCGAUUCCCUCUGGAUGCUGCCAUCAUUUUCUCCGACAUCCUUGUUGUACCCCAGAUGUUUUCUCCCCCUCCAGGCACUGGGCAUGGAGGUGACCAUGGUACCUGGCAAAGGACCCAGCUUCCCAGAGCCAUUAAGAGAAGAGCAGGACCUAGAACGCCUACGGGAUCCAGAAGUGGUAGCCUCUGAGCUAGGCUAUGUGUUCCAAGCCAUCACCCUUACCCGACAACGACUGGCUGGACGUGUGCCGCUGAUUGGCUUUGCUGGUGCCCCAUGGACCCUGAUGACAUACAUGGUUGAGGGUGGUGGCUCAAGCACCAUGGCUCAGGCCAAGCGCUGGCUCUAUCAGAGACCUCAGGCUAGUCACCAGCUGCUUCGCAUCCUC